Molecule: ribosomal RNA, 600 nt
Filed under: uncultured bacterium
Lineage: Bacteria
Description: bacterial SSU rRNA
Rfam family: Bacterial small subunit ribosomal RNA
Source: RNAcentral
UGACGAGGCCUUUACUGACGCUAAAGCUCGAAGGUGCGGGUAUCGAACAGGAUUAGAUACCCUGGUAGUCCGCACGGUAAACGAUGGAUGCCCGCUGUUUGCGAUACACUGUGAGCGGCCAAGCGAAAGCGUUAAGCAUCCCACCUGGGGAGUACGCCGGCAACGGUGAAACUCAAAGGGAUUGACGGGGGCCCGCACAAGCGGAGGAACAUGUGGUUUAAUUCGAUGAUACGCGAGGAACCUUACCCGGGCUUGAACUGCAGGAGAACGAUACAGAGAUGUUGAGGUCCCUCGGGACUCCUGUGGAGGUGCUGCAUGGUUGUCGUCAGCUCGUGCCGUGAGGUGUCGGCUUAAGUGCCAUAACGAGCGCAACCCCUCUCCGUAGUUGCCAUCGGGUGAUGCCGGGCACUCUGCGGACACUGCCACCGUAAGGUGCGAGGAAGGUGGGGAUGACGUCAAAUCAGCACGGCCCUUACGUCCGGGGCUACACACGUGUUACAAUGGGUGGUACAGAGCGUCGGUGCUGCGCAAGCCGCAUCCAAUCAUGAAAGCCAUCCUCAGUUCGGACUGGGGUCUGCAACCCGACCCCACGAAGCUGGA